Molecule: non-coding RNA, 285 nt
Organism: Anolis sagrei ordinatus
Lineage: Eukaryota; Metazoa; Chordata; Lepidosauria; Squamata; Anolidae
Source: RefSeq, a predicted model, not a curated record
AAGGAAAAGCAUAUGGUGAAGAGAAAUGAGAGAGGAGCAAAGCAGUACACUGGGCCGUGCCUAUACAACCACACUGGAAUAAAAAUACCGUCACAGCGGCCAAGCACCGGUUCAGGACCUGGACAGCCUCCUUAGUAGCAGGUGGAAAGGAGUGACAGAGUUGGACAUCAUCCGCGUACAGAUGACACCAUACCCCGAAACUCCGGAUGAUCUCCUGACAAGUUAUCUUCAACCAUUACACUUAUUGACUGUUCAAAAUAAACAACAUUUCCUGUUUUAUUCCAA